CGAGGCGUAGCGAAGGUGGUAUCGCGCCAGUUUCGGGUACUGGAGACCGUGGGUUCGAGUCCCGCCGCUUCGACCA
RNAcentral lists this transfer RNA (76 nucleotides) under Clostridia bacterium. RNAcentral's name for it is "tRNA-Pro". It matches the Rfam family "tRNA". From Rfam's summary of the family: Transfer RNA (tRNA) molecules are approximately 80 nucleotides in length. Their secondary structure includes four short double-helical elements and three loops (D, anti-codon, and T loops). Further hydrogen bonds mediate the characteristic L-shaped molecular structure. tRNAs have two regions of fundamental functional importance: the anti-codon, which is responsible for specific mRNA codon recognition, and the 3' end, to which the tRNAs corresponding amino acid is attached (by aminoacyl-tRNA synthetases). tRNAs cope with the degeneracy of the genetic code in two manners: having more than one tRNA (with a specific anti-codon) for a particular amino acid; and 'wobble' base-pairing, i.e. permitting non-standard base-pairing at the 3rd anti-codon position. The record is from RNAcentral. Lineage: Bacteria; Bacillati; Bacillota; Clostridia.